RNAcentral lists this ribosomal RNA (496 nucleotides) under uncultured bacterium. Its description in RNAcentral is "partial 16S ribosomal RNA". It matches the Rfam family "Bacterial small subunit ribosomal RNA", at positions 29 to 507 of the family's 1533-position model. The record is from RNAcentral.
AUGAACGCUGGCGGCGUGCCUAAUCCCUGCAAGUCGAGCGAACGGACGAGAAGCUUGCUUCUCUGAUGUUAGCGGCGGACGGGUGAGUAACACGUGGAUAACCUACCUAUAAGACUGGGAUAACUUCGGGAAACCGGAGCUAAUACCGGAUAAUAUUUUGAACCGCAUGGUUCAGAAGUGAAAGACGGUCUUGCUGUCACUUAUAGAUGGAUCCGCGCUGCAUUAGCUAGUUGGUAAGGUAACGGCUUACCAAGGCAACGAUGCAUAGCCGACCUGAGAGGGUGAUCGGCCACACUGGAACUGAGACACGGUCCAGACUCCUACGGGAGGCAGCAGUAGGGAAUCUUCCGCAAUGGGCGAAAGCCUGACGGAGCAACGCCGCGUGAGUGAUGAAGGUCUUCGGAUCGUAAAACUCUGUUAUUAGGGAAGAACAUAUGUGUAAGUAACUGUGCACAUCUUGACGGUACCUAAUCAGAAAGCCACGGCUAACUACGUG